AUGGGGUAUACUGGCCCUAACUUUACAUGGUCCAACCGACAGAAUGCUGAGAUGAAUACAAGGGUUAGACUGGACCGAGCAGUACCGAAUGGUGAUUUUCUUCAGAAGUUUGAUAAUUGCACUGUUGAGAACAUCAUCACUACUUCGUCUGACCACUUUGCGAUUUUGAUAAGAAUGGCGAAGAGUACCGAUCGAACAGUCAUAAAUCCAGUGCAACACUCUUUUAGAUUUGAAGCAGCAUGUAUGAGCACACCUGAUUAUGAUCAUAUGAUAGGUGAUAAUUGGAAAAAUCUCAAGAGUGACACUCCAUCCUUAUAUAACAUAUGGUUUGCUCUUAACAAGUUAUCUACCUCUAUUCAGAAAUGGAGCAAGGUUUCCUUCAGCUCGGUUAAGAAAGAAAUCAAAAUAUUGGAAAAGCAUCUUGCUACCAUAAGAAAGAAUAUUCCAGCCUCAAACAACUCAGAUGAAGAGAAGAAAAUUAAACUGCGGUUGUGUGAACUCUUUGAAAGAGAAGAAAUCAUGGCCCGACAAUGGUCAAGGGUGGAUUGGCUACGGGAAGGGGAUCGCAACACAUCUUUCUUCCAUGCACGGGCAUCGGCCAGAAGAAGAACAAAUAGAAUAAAAUUCUUGAAUAAAGCCGAUGGGUCAAUAUGUAAAGAUCAUGAAGGGAUCAAAAGUAUGGUCUAUGAAUUCUAUGCAAACUUAUUUAUUUCUUAACCUUCUGAUUCAUUAGAUGCAACCCUUGAAGCAAUCCCAAGAAAGGUUAAUGACAAAGUUAAUGAAGCUUUGUGCCGAGAAUAUACAAAUGAUGAAGUCAAGGCUGCUCUUUUCUAG
Molecule: ribosomal RNA, 834 nt
Filed under: Triticum aestivum (bread wheat)
Lineage: Eukaryota; Viridiplantae; Streptophyta; Magnoliopsida; Poales; Poaceae
Description: partial small subunit ribosomal RNA
Source: RNAcentral